Molecule: unclassified non-coding RNA, 236 nt
Filed under: Hevea brasiliensis (rubber tree)
Lineage: Eukaryota; Viridiplantae; Streptophyta; Magnoliopsida; Malpighiales; Euphorbiaceae
Source: RNAcentral
UGUGCAGGAGAUUCUAUUCCAUCAGCUGGAACUGGACUUGGCUGGGCUACCAAGGCAUGCCUUUCACCCAAAUGGUCAUCAGAAAUAGAUCUUUGCUCAUAUUUGACACCUUUUGCCUCACACAUGCCAUUGACUUGGUUGUCAUCAAUUAGGGACCUCAAUGACUUGGUAUUCCCACAGCCAAUAUCCUCAGCACUGUACUGAAGCACAUUAGAACCAUUUUGAGACGUACCUUG